Molecule: unclassified non-coding RNA, 331 nt
Organism: Cavia porcellus (domestic guinea pig)
Lineage: Eukaryota; Metazoa; Chordata; Mammalia; Rodentia; Caviidae
Gene: 7SK
Rfam family: 7SK RNA
About the family: 7SK was discovered as an abundant small nuclear RNA in the mid-70s but a possible function has only recently been suggested. Two independent studies have found that 7SK RNA binds the CDK9/cyclin T complex (known as elongation factor P-TEFb).
Source: Ensembl
GGAUGUGAGGGAAAUGUGGCUGCAACAUUUAUCACCUCAUUGCUCGCCAGGUUUGACUCAGCAGAUCUGCCUGGCUACACAGGUAUUCCCUUCCUUCCUCAAUGAGCCAUGUAUAUCCAUGCUAAACUGCACACCCAGUCAGAAAGGAUGAUAACCCCAUAGAGGAGGACCAUUCCUUGGUCAAGAUUGCAUGAGUAUCUGUGUUCCAUUGCUAGCAUCUCUAACCAAGCUCUCAAAGAUGGUUUUCUUAUUAUGCAGGACACAUGUGUAGAGUCAAGGUAGAAGAGUUCAUAAACUCUUAUAGCAAUUGAAUCCAAGUGGACUGGUCUUU